This is a transfer RNA of Tropilaelaps mercedesae, 73 nucleotides long. It matches the Rfam family "tRNA". From Rfam's summary of the family: Transfer RNA (tRNA) molecules are approximately 80 nucleotides in length. Their secondary structure includes four short double-helical elements and three loops (D, anti-codon, and T loops). The record is from Rfam. NCBI's taxonomy places the organism in Eukaryota, Metazoa, Arthropoda, Arachnida, Mesostigmata, Laelapidae.
GCCCAGGUAGCUCAGUCGGUAGAGCGUUAGGCUUUUAACCUAACGGUCCGGGGUUCGAGCCCCCGUCUGGGCG